AGAAGUUUAGGUUAUAUAGACCAAGAGCCUUCAAAGCUCUAAGAAAGUAAACACUGCUUAACUUCUG
This 67-nucleotide transfer RNA is filed under the name Jaculus jaculus (lesser Egyptian jerboa). RNAcentral describes it as "tRNA (ENSJJAG00000000011.1)". Lineage: Eukaryota; Metazoa; Chordata; Mammalia; Rodentia; Dipodidae. The record is from RNAcentral.